This 588-nucleotide unclassified non-coding RNA is filed under the name Hevea brasiliensis (rubber tree). The record is from RNAcentral. Lineage: Eukaryota; Viridiplantae; Streptophyta; Magnoliopsida; Malpighiales; Euphorbiaceae.
UCCAAGCGCAUUGGCUACUGACGCAAAGAGCGGCUCCGUCACCAUAGCCAUCGCAUUCUUAUUCUCAUCCAAUGCCUGCACCACAUGCACCACUCCUGGAUGCCUCAGCCUCACCAAACGCGAUGCAUCAGCCCGAAUCACAUCCAGAAACGAGUCCUCCGCCGCCUUCGACAGUCCCGCCCGGACACGAGCCUCCGACAAUGUCCUCUUGUCCAGUACCCAAACACAAACAGUGGGAUACUGGUGUGCGCGCGUGGAAUCACGUGCAGACUUAGCAGAGUAUAAUUUCCAAGCAAGGCCAGGUCCAGCGGAGCCGAUCUGGUCGAGGAGCUCAUAGUCCUGCAAGGGCUUUGGACCGGUUACUUCCUGUACGGUCGUCUGCACGGUCUUCUCGAUCACCGCUGCCGUCUUGGCAAGCGCUUGCGUUAGGGUUUUCAUGUUCAGAGACAUUUUCUUCUAUCUGAGACUAUAUAGAAGCCACCAAAUUACAAAUCAAUAAAUAUGUAUAUAUAGGUGUCUAACUCUCUAUAUUGAUAUAUUUGUAGGUUCUUUGAGCGGAAAGAGGAGGAGGCGGUGGUGUCGGUGGUG